This 757-nucleotide ribosomal RNA is filed under the name uncultured archaeon. RNAcentral's name for it is "bacterial SSU rRNA". It matches the Rfam family "Archaeal small subunit ribosomal RNA", at positions 102 to 859 of the family's 1478-position model. The record is from RNAcentral.
GGAUAACCUACCCUUAGGACUGGGAUAACCCUGGGAAACUGGGGAUAAUACUGGAUAGGCAAUUAUUCCUGUAAUGGUUUUUUGUUUAAAUGUUUUUUCGCCUAAGGAUGGGUCUGCGGCCGAUUAGGUAGUUGGUUAGGUAAUGGCUUACCAAGCCUUUGAUCGGUACGGGUUGUGAGAGCAAGAGCCCGGAGAUGGAACCUGAGACAAGGUUCCAGGCCCUACGGGGUGCAGCAGGCGCGAAACCUCCGCAAUGUGAGAAAUCGCGACGGGGGGAUCCCAAGUGCCAUUCUUAACGGGAUGGCUUUUCAUUAGUGUAAAGAGCUUUUGGAAUAAGAGCUGGGCAAGACCGGUGCCAGCCGCCGCGGUAACACCGGCAGCUCUAGUGGUAGCAGUUUUUAUUGGGCCUAAAGCGUCCGUAGCCGGUUUAAUAAGUCUCUGGUGAAAUCCUGUAGCUUAACUAUGGGAAUUGCUGGAGAUACUAUUGGACUUGAGACCGGGAGAGGUUAGAGGUACUCCCAGGGUAGAGGUGAAAUUCUGUAAUCCUGGGAGGACCGCCUGUUGCGAAGGCGUCUGACUGGAACGGUUCUGACGGUGAGGGACGAAAGUUAGGGGCGCGAACCGGAUUAGAUACCCGGGUAGUCCUAACUGUAAACGAUGCGGACUUGGUGUUGGGGUGGCUUUGAGCUGCUUCAGUGCCGAAGGGAAGCUGUUAAGUCCGCCGCCUGGGAAGUACGGUCGCAAGACUGAAACUUAA